This 511-nucleotide ribosomal RNA is filed under the name uncultured bacterium. RNAcentral describes it as "partial 16S ribosomal RNA". It matches the Rfam family "Bacterial small subunit ribosomal RNA", at positions 355 to 882 of the family's 1533-position model. The record is from RNAcentral.
UGGGGAAUAUUGCACAAUGGGCGAAAGCCUGAUGCAGCAACGCCGCGUGAGUGAUGAAGGUCUUCGGAUUGUAAAGCUCUGUCUUUUGGGACGAUAAUGACGGUACCAAAGGAGGAAGCCACGGCUAACUACGUGCCAGCAGCCGCGGUAAUACGUAGGUGGCGAGCGUUGUCCGGAUUUACUGGGCGUAAAGGGUGCGUAGGCGGAUGUUUAAGUGAGAUGUGAAAUACCCGGGCUUAACUUGGGUGCUGCAUUUCAAACUGGAUAUCUAGAGUGCAGGAGAGGAGAAUGGAAUUCCUAGUGUAGCGGUGAAAUGCGUAGAGAUUAGGAAGAACACCAGUGGCGAAGGCGACUCUCUGGACUGUAACUGACGCUGAGGCACGAAAGCGUGGGUAGCAAACAGGAUUAGAUACCCUGGUAGUCCACGCCGUAAACGAUGAGUACUAGGUGUAGGAGGUAUCGACCCCUUCUGUGCCGCAGUAAACACAUUAAGUACUCCGCCUGGGGAAGU